CAAUCACGCUUAUUACGCUGAGCCAUCACGCGUCCAAGAUUAUUGGAUCAGCGCGGGUGUUCAACGAAAAAUGCGGCAUUUUUUAAGAGUACCGUGGCAGAGCGUGCUGAAGAAGGUCGAAAAUUCGUCAACGAACGAUGCGCAUUCGAAUUAUUACGGGAGUUUGAACUCCAAUAUUGUAAUUAAACAUUUUCUCAUCGGUAGAAGAAUAUUUAAAUCGUAAUCAUUCGAUGGAGAAGAGAGUGAGGAAAAAUGAGAUCUCGUGACUACUGCGGUGACGGUGCAGACGAGGAACGUUGCAGCAUCAAGUGUCCCCUCGGUUAGUCGUGGCAAUGCGAAUAACGGGAGGAGGGAAAAAGGGUUGGAUGAAAAAAGGGAACGAACGAAAGGAGUAAAACAAAUGAGCCUUUGUAGCGGAGAGUCUCGCUCUUGUCUUAUCUCCUUCAUUCUCGUUCUCCUCCUUGUAGCACAUCUCGUAUUCGUUGGUUUUGUGGAGCUAGAAAUAAUCUUUGCCGAAAUUCGCCAUUCGCGAGAGCGCCGUUGGAAACUUCAAAAAAAGCAAUUCGAAAUAUGCGGAAAAGUUGAAACCUCUCCCGAAGCGUUUGCACUCGAUUUCGUAGCGAGACUUGACGAGAAUAGGCGUGCGAGGAGAAAAGUGAAGAGAAUUAUGCCGAAGGGUAGCUGGAAAACGAGGGGGAGCAGAAAAAACCAGAAAAAACGAAGCGAGAGGAAAACAGAGUGCUGGACAUCGUGGCCUCGCGUGUUUUCCUGCACCCCGGAUGUGUCUAUUCACGGAAGGAAAAAAGAGGAAGCGAAAGCAGUUACUCGAACAUCAUUGGGAGAGAAAUUCGUCUCCGAAUCACUCGAACCCCUCUAUCUAUGAUUGCGAAUGAACGGGGAAGAGAACUGGCAAG
Long non-coding RNA from Venturia canescens, 914 nucleotides. RefSeq lists it as uncharacterized. The transcript is spliced from 5 exons. The record is from RefSeq and is a predicted model, not a curated record. Lineage: Eukaryota; Metazoa; Arthropoda; Insecta; Hymenoptera; Ichneumonidae.